Molecule: long non-coding RNA, 1322 nt
Organism: Rosa rugosa (rugosa rose)
Lineage: Eukaryota; Viridiplantae; Streptophyta; Magnoliopsida; Rosales; Rosaceae
Exons: 3
Source: RefSeq, a predicted model, not a curated record
UCAAAAAGUGACUUUUUAUACAUUGGGAAUUUGGGAAAACUUCCUUCAUGAAAGUUGUAGAGGACAUUAAACCGAGUGCGUGCAUAUGUGGUACGUAAAAAUCGGAGUUCGUAUGCGAAAGUUAUAAGCAAAAUAUGAAAGUUACUGUUUAUGGUAGAUUGGUAUAAAUUUGAAAUGUUACUGUAGCCAGGUAACUUUUCUUUCUUUUCUCUCUCCUUCCCCCGUGCUCUCUCAGUCUCUCUCUUCUGCAACUCUCUCUUUCUCUCUUCUGCAACCUCCUCUUUCACCACCUCUAGACCACCAAAUGGCGAGCUGCGAGCAUCGAUAGACUCGUCUCUUCCUCCUUAUCACGCAUGUGGGAGUUGUUUACGACGAUUUGGCCGGAAAUGUGGAGAUCGAAGCCAACAUUUUUACUGUAGCAAAUUAGUCAACGCCGAUUUCCGGCCACCUCCAGUCAUAAACCCAGGUCCAUUAGAAGCGCCUUAAGCCGCUCUUCAUGCUCGCCAAGUCUCAUAACCCAGAUCGAAGCAUGGAGGAAGAAAGCAUAAUUGGAAAAUUUCACUGUACAUCGGAGUGCUUAAUUGUUCGGCUACUUCAAGGUGAUUGACGGUUUGAGUUGGUGGACGAUUGUGGAUCGUAUUUUGAGCUGAAUUGAAGACGCAGCGGGAUUAUCGAGCGGGUAAUCCUACAGGACAGGAGAACCAGGACGGUGACCGUGCGGUUAGAGCAAUUGUUAGAGUUUUACAGCAAUUGUAAGUUGUGAGGUGUGUUAUGCUCAUUUAGAGCUUUACAAUAUUGCUUGUGAGAGUGAAUUGUAAUAAUGAACUCGAGGUUUCGAGAUUUGGAGUUUGUGUACCUUGUGGUGAGAUUAUAUUGAGAAAAAAAUUCAGAACGUUUAUUUGAUUAAGUGGUUUAAUUCAUGUUUCGGAUUUGAAUUUAUUAUUCAAAAUUCGGGGCGUGACAGUUUGGUAUCAGAGCGUAAGGUACAUAUUUGGUGAUAAUCAGUACCUCCCGAGUGAUGGCCCGUCUGCAGCGGAUCCCCAUCAUAUACUCUUCGGUACUGGUAAAAUCAUUGGGUAUGUCUUAGUAUGGGGUCUAGACAACGUGUAAGUCCGUAGGACGGUAGAGUUGUCUACUAAGUUCGUAUUAGAAUAAGUUUAGUUUCCGCGAGUUGUGAUCUUCGAGGAAUAGGAACCUCUGGAUUUAACUCUGAUGAGUCGGUGAGGUAGAGGUCGAGUCUGAUGUAGGGACAUGACCUUUCUAUGGAGACAGUUGAGGAUGAGGUGGAGGCAUUAGAGGUUGAGUUGCCUAGUCUACCUGUA